GGCGCCUGAUUGGUCCUGGCGGCACACCCAGGAGAACGGUGGCGGCGGCGGCCAUGGCCGCUGGUGGGCCCAGCCUGGCAGCAACGGGGACAGGCCGAGGAGCCGCGGCGCCGGGCCUGGCGAGGUCAUGCCCAGCACCGUGGAGGGCCAGCCCCACCAGGACAGACUCUGGAGGAUGUGGAGGCCCCCAGGGGGUGUGGCGGCCCUGGACCUCAGCCCGGAAGGACUCCAGGGGAGAGAGCGCCUCUGAGACAAAGACAUGUGUAGAAGCCAUUUUCUAGCCAUUGCAGCACAAGGACACAAACAGAGAACAACGAUGUGAGAAGGUGCCAGUGUGAUGCAGUGGUCAACAGGUGCUCCAAUCUCUCACCUCGUUUCCGCACAUUUGCAAGAUCAAGAGAAAGCCCCUCUAUUCGGUCCUGCAAGGAAAAGGUCUGGAAUAAGCCCUGUGAUAUUAAGCACCAGGGGAACACCACAUAGGAGGGGAUGGCAGUUUCCUGUGUUUCCUAAGCAGCCCAAGGAGGACAGGGGUUUCUUGGCAAGCCCAGGAGAAGUUGCAUCCCCUAAGAAUACAUUACUGUCAGACUGGGACAGAUCAGGGAUCCAUUUGUCUCCACAUUCCCAAGGUGGUGUGUACUCAGAUUUUUUUUUUGCUUGUUUUCAAUAAACAAUAAAUAAACUA
This is a long non-coding RNA of Hemicordylus capensis (graceful crag lizard), 682 nucleotides long. RefSeq lists it as uncharacterized. The record is from RefSeq and is a predicted model, not a curated record. Lineage: Eukaryota; Metazoa; Chordata; Lepidosauria; Squamata; Cordylidae. The transcript has 3 exons.